CAGACUUAGACCUGGCCCAAGAAGAAUGCAAACAGUUGCUCCAACAAGGCCUCAUAGAGCCUACAUCCUCUUAGUGGGCUUGCCAAGCCUUUUAUGUGGAAAAAAGAUCUGAAAGGUUAAGAGGAAAAAAGACGCUUGUCAUUGACUAUAAACCUCUCAACCAUUUCCUUCAGGAUGAUAAGUUCCUAUUACCAAAGCCUGAAACCUUAUACACCCAGCUCCAUGAAGCCCACAUCUUCUCAAAGUUUGAUCUUAAGGCCGGAUUUUGGCAGUUAGGGAUUGAGCCAUCAGACAGGUCCAAAACUGCUUUUUGCAUUCCUGCGGUCCAAUAUCAAUGGACUGUCCUUCCCUUUAGACUAAUAACAGUCCCUUCUGUUUUUCAAAAGACCAUGACAAGAAUAUUUGAGCUCAUUCUCCACAUUGCUCUCAUCUAUAUUGACGACAUCCUCCUAUUCUCAAAGGAUGUCACGGCCCACAAAGCUCUCCUAUCCACUUUCCAAACCAUAGUGGAUUCUCAUGGCAUCAUGGUAUCAGAAAGAAAGAGUUCUUUGACCCAGACUGACAUAGACUUCCUUGGAAUGAAGUUCAAA
This 590-nucleotide unclassified non-coding RNA is filed under the name Hevea brasiliensis (rubber tree). Lineage: Eukaryota; Viridiplantae; Streptophyta; Magnoliopsida; Malpighiales; Euphorbiaceae. The record is from RNAcentral.